This 362-nucleotide ribosomal RNA is filed under the name uncultured bacterium. RNAcentral describes it as "partial 16S ribosomal RNA". It matches the Rfam family "Bacterial small subunit ribosomal RNA", at positions 338 to 699 of the family's 1533-position model. The record is from RNAcentral.
CCUACGGGAGGCAGCAGUGAGGAAUAUUGGUCAAUGGGCGAGAGCCUGAACCAGCCAAGUCGCGUGAGGGAGUACUGCCCUAUGGGUUGUAAACCCCUUUUGUCGGGGAGCAAAAGCCGGUCGUGUCCGGCUGUGAGAGUACCCGCAGAAAAAGCAUCGGCUAACUCCGUGCUAGCAGCCGCGGUAAGACGGAGGAUGCGAGUGUUAGCCGGAUGUAUUGGGUUAAAAGGGUGUGCAGGCGGAUUUUUAAGUCAGCGGUAAAAUCGUGGCGCUCAACCCCAGCCAACCGUUGAAACUGGGGAUCUAGAGUGUGCGAGAGGUAAGCGGAAUGCGUGGUGUAGGAGUGAAAUGCAUAGAUAUCA